This 2321-nucleotide ribosomal RNA is filed under the name Salinivibrio sp. PR6. RNAcentral describes it as "bacterial LSU rRNA". It matches the Rfam family "Bacterial large subunit ribosomal RNA", at positions 698 to 2925 of the family's 2925-position model. The record is from RNAcentral. Lineage: Bacteria; Pseudomonadati; Pseudomonadota; Gammaproteobacteria; Vibrionales; Vibrionaceae.
UAGUUGCUAGCAUUAGACCCGAAACCGAGUGAUCUAGCCAUGGGCAGGUUGAAGGUUGAGUAACAUCAACUGGAGGACCGAACUCACUAACGUUGAAAAGUUAGGAGAUGACCUGUGGCUAGGGGUGAAAGGCCAAUCAAACUCGGAGAUAGCUGGUUCUCCCCGAAAGCUAUUUAGGUAGCGCCUCGGACGAAUACUACUGGGGGUAGAGCACUGUUAAGGCUAGGGGGUCAUCCCGACUUACCAACCCUUUGCAAACUCCGAAUACCAGUAAGUACUAUCCGGGAGACACACGGCGGGUGCUAACGUCCGUCGUGGAGAGGGAAACAACCCAGACCGCCAGCUAAGGUCCCCAAGUUAUCGCUAAGUGGGAAACGAUGUGGGAAGGCUCAGACAGCCAGGAUGUUGGCUUAGAAGCAGCCAUCAUUUAAAGAAAGCGUAAUAGCUCACUGGUCGAGUCGGCCUGCGCGGAAGAUGUAACGGGGCUAAGCGAUACACCGAAGCUGCGGCARUGUCCUUAUGGAYAUUGGGUAGGGGAGCGUUGUGUAAGCUGUUGAAGGUGUGCUGAGAGGCAUGCUGGAGGUAUCACAAGUGCGAAUGCUGACAUGAGUAACGAUAAAGGGGGUGAAAAACCUCCUCGCCGGAAGACCAAGGGUUCCUGUCCAACGUUAAUCGGGGCAGGGUAAGUCGGCCCCUAAGGCGAGGCCGAAAGGCGUAGUCGAUGGRAAACGGGUUAAUAUUCCCGUACUGCUGCUUACUGCGAUGGGGGGACGGAGAAGGCUAGGUGGGCCUGGCGAUGGUUGUCCAGGUUCAAGUGCGUAGGCUGAUUUCUUAGGCAAAUCCGGGAAAUCAAGGCCGAGACACGAUGUCGAGCCACCAAGGUGGUGAAGUCAUUGAUGCCAUGCUUCCGGGAAAAGCCUCUAAGCUUCAGGUAAGUAGCAACCGUACUCCAAACCGACACAGGUGGUCGGGUAGAGAAUACCAAGGCGCUUGAGAGAACUCGGGUGAAGGAACUAGGCAAAAUGGUACCGUAACUUCGGGAGAAGGUACGCUGCCCGCGGUGAAGUCCCUUGCGGAUGGAGCUAUGGGCAGUCGCAGAUACCAGGUGGCUGCAACUGUUUAUUAAAAACACAGCACUGUGCAAAAUCGAAAGAUGACGUAUACGGUGUGACGCCUGCCCGGUGCCGGAAGGUUAAUUGAUGUGGUUAUCGCAAGAGAAGCCAUUGAUUGAAGCCCCGGUAAACGGCGGCCGUAACUAUAACGGUCCUAAGGUAGCGAAAUUCCUUGUCGGGUAAGUUCCGACCUGCACGAAUGGCGUAAUGAUGGCCACGCUGUCUCCACCCGAGACUCAGUGAAAUUGAAAUCGCAGUGAAGAUGCUGUGUACCCGCGGCUAGACGGAAAGACCCCGUGAACCUUUACUACAGCUUGGCACUGAACAUUGAGCCUACAUGUGUAGGAUAGGUGGGAGGCUUUGAAGCGGCGACGCCAGUUGCUGUGGAGCCAUCCUUGAAAUACCACCCUUGUAUGUUUGAUGUUCUAACUUAGCCCCRUUAUCYGGGGUGAGGACAGUGCCUGGUGGGUAGUUUGACUGGGGCGGUCUCCUCCCAAAGCGUAACGGAGGAGCACGAAGGUGGGCUAAUCACGGUCGGACAUCGUGAGGUUAGUGCAAUGGCAUAAGCCCGCUUAACUGCGAGAGUGACGGCUCGAGCAGGUACGAAAGUAGGUCAUAGUGAUCCGGUGGUUCUGAAUGGAAGGGCCAUCGCUCAACGGAUAAAAGGUACUCCGGGGAUAACAGGCUGAUACCGCCCAAGAGUUCAUAUCGACGGCGGUGUUUGGCACCUCGAUGUCGGCUCAUCACAUCCUGGGGCUGAAGUCGGUCCCAAGGGUAUGGCUGUUCGCCAUUUAAAGUGGUACGCGAGCUGGGUUUAGAACGUCGUGAGACAGUUCGGUCCCUAUCUGCCGUGGGCGUUGGAUGAUUGAGGGGAGCUGCUCCUAGUACGAGAGGACCGGAGUGGACGAACCGCUGGUGUUCGGGUUGUGUCGCCAGACGCAUUGCCCGGUAGCUAAGUUCGGCACAGAUAAGCGCUGAAAGCAUCUAAGCGCGAAGCUGGCCCCGAGAUGAGUCAUCCCUAGAGCUUNAGAUAAGCGCUGAAAGCAUCUAAGCGCGAAGCUGGCCCCGAGAUGAGUCAUCCCUAGAGCUUCGAGCUCUCUAAAGGGUUGUUCUAGACUAGAACGUUGAUAGGCAGGGUGUGUAAGCGCUGUGAGGCGUUGAGCUAACCUGUACUAAUUGCCCGUGAGGCUUAACCAUACAACACCCAAG